RNAcentral lists this ribosomal RNA (434 nucleotides) under uncultured archaeon. RNAcentral's name for it is "bacterial SSU rRNA". It matches the Rfam family "Archaeal small subunit ribosomal RNA", at positions 19 to 458 of the family's 1478-position model. The record is from RNAcentral.
GGACCUGACUGCUAUCGGAUUGAUACUAAGCCAUGCGAGUCAUUGUAGUAAUACAAGGCAGACGGCUCAGUAACGCGUAGUCAACCUAACCUAUGGACGGGAAUAACCUCGGGAAACUGAGAAUAAUGCCCGAUAGAACAUUAUGCCUGGAAUGGUUUAUGUUCCAAAUGAUUUAUCGCCGUAGGAUGGGACUGCGGCCUAUCAGUUUGUUGGUGAGGUAAUGGCCCACCAAGACUAUUACAGGUACGGGCUCUGAGAGGAGUAGCCCGGAGAUGGGUACUGAGACACGGACCCAGGCCCUAUGGGGCGCAGCAGGCGAGAAAACUUUGCAAUGUGCGAAAGCACGACAAGGUUAAUCCGAGUGGUUUCUGCUAAAGAAACCUUUUGUCAGUCCUAGAAACACUGAUGAAUAAGGGGUGGGCAAGUUCUGGUGU